GUGCGAAAGCAGGUCAUAGUGAUCCGGUGGUUCUGAAUGGAAGGGCCAUCGCUCAACGGAUAAAAGGUACUCCGGGGAUAACAGGCUGAUACCGCCCAAGAGUUCAUAUCGACGGCGGUGUUUGGCACCUCGAUGUCGGCUCAUCACAUCCUGGGGCUGAAGUAGGUCCCAAGGGUAUGGCUGUUCGCCAUUUAAAGUGGUACGCGAGCUGGGUUUAGAACGUCGUGAGACAGUUCGGUCCCUAUCUGCCGUGGGCGCUGGAGAACUGAGGGGGGCUGCUCCUAGUACGAGAGGACCGGAGUGGACGCAUCACUGGUGUUCGGGUUGUCAUGCCAAUGGCACUGCCCGGUAGCUAAAUGCGGAAGAGAUAAGUGCUGAAAGCAUCUAAGCACGAAACUUGCCCCGAGAUGAGUUCUCCCUGAGACUUAAAGUCUCCUGAAGGAACGUUGAAGACGACGACGUUGAUAGGCCGGGUGUGUAAGCGCAGCGAUGCGUUGAGCUAACCGGUACUAAUGAACCGUGAGGCUUAACCUUACAACGCCGAAGGUGUUU
This 552-nucleotide ribosomal RNA is filed under the name Salmonella enterica subsp. enterica serovar Weslaco str. 247K. RNAcentral describes it as "bacterial LSU rRNA". It matches the Rfam family "Bacterial large subunit ribosomal RNA", at positions 2397 to 2925 of the family's 2925-position model. Lineage: Bacteria; Pseudomonadati; Pseudomonadota; Gammaproteobacteria; Enterobacterales; Enterobacteriaceae. The record is from RNAcentral.